CGUGUAUGAUGCGAGGUUAAAUACUGUGUAAGGUAUGAAGCCGAAGGGAAACCGAGUGUGAAUAGCGCGAAGAUAUAGUAUCAUGCAGUAGACCCGAAACCGAGUGACCUAUCCAUGAGCAGGUUGAAGCUUGAGUAAAAUCAAGUGGAGGACCGAACCGGUAUUCGUUGAAAAGGAUUCGGAUGACUUGUGGAUAGCGGAGAAAUUCCAAUCGAACUCGGAGAUAGCUGGUUCUCCUCGAAAUAGCUUUAGGGCUAGCCUUGUUUAGUAGCAUGUGGAGGUAAAGCACUGAAUAUGUGAGGGUUCUUACCAGAAUACCGAUCAUUAUCAAACUCUGAAUGCCAUGUGUAUAAGAACAGGAGUCAGACAGUGACAGCUAAGUGCCAUUGUCAAAAGGGAAAGAGCCCAGACCAACAGCUAAGGUCCCAAAAUUGUAGUUAAGUGGAAAAGGAUGUGGGAAUUCAUAGACAACCAGGAUGUUGGCUCAGAAGCAGCCAUUCAUUUAAAGAGUGCGUAAAAGCUCACUGGUCGAAGUAGGCCUGCGCCGAAAAUUACCGGGGCUAAACUACAUACCGAAGCUUUGGAUUUGGUACGUAAAGUAUUAAGUGGUAGAGGAGCGUUGUAUAAAGAUUGAAGCUAUACUGAAAAGAGUAGUGGACGAUAUACAAGAGAGAAUGCCGGAAUAAGUAGCGAGAGCACAGUGAGAAUCUGUGCCGCCGAAAACCUAAGGUUUCCUGGGGAAGGUUCGUCCGCCCAGGGUAAGUCGGGACCUAAGACGAGGCUAAAGCAGCGUAGUCGAUGGAAAGCAGGUAAAAGAUUCCUGCACUACCGAAAUGCGAUAUACAAUAUAUCAUGACGCAUCAGAAGAGUCUAAGCGAGCAAAUGGAAAAGUUCGUACCGCAAGGUGGAGUGAAAAAUAGUAACGAAGUAGAUAAAUCAGGUGACAAGAAAAGUGAUAUAGGAGCAUAGAGGUACUCGUACCGUAAACCGACACAGGUAGGAAGAAAGAGAAUUUUCAGGCGAACGAGAGAAUCAUUGUUAAGGAACUCGGCAAAUUAACCCCGUAACUUAGGGAUAAGGGGAGCCAAUAGCGAUAUUGGUCGCAGAGAAAUGGCCCAAGCAACUGUUUAGCAAAAACACAGGUUUCUGCCAAAUCGAAAGAUGAAGUAUAGGAGCUGACGCCUGCCCAGUGCUGGAAGGUCAAGGGGAAGAGUAAACGUUUCGAUGUGAAGCUCUGAACUUAAGCCCCAGUGAACGGCGGCCGUAACUAUAACGGUCCUAAGGUAGCGAAAUUCCUUGUCAGGUAAGUUCUGACCCGCACGAAAGGCGUAAUGAUUUGGGCACUGUCUCGACAAUGAACUCGGCGAAAUUGUAGUACUAGUGAAGAUGCUAGUUACCUGUGAUAAGACAGAAAGACCCCAUGGAGCUUUACUGUAGCUUGAUAUUGAGACUAGGUAAGAGAUGUACAGAAUAGAUGGGAGACUAUGAGAUAAGGACGCCAGUUCUUAAGGAGUCACCUUUGGGAUACCAUCCUUCUUUUACUUGGAAUCUAACUAGUUGCCAUGAACUGGUAAUAGGACAGUGUCAGGUGGGCAGUUUGACUGGGGCGGUCGCCUCCUAAAGAGUAACGGAGGCGUUCAAAGGUCAGCUUAACACGGUCAGAAAUCGUGUGAUGACGUGCAAAGGCGUAAGCUGGCUUGACUGCAAGACUGACAGGUCGAGCAGACGCGAAAGCGGGACUUAGUGACCCGAUGGUUGUGAGUGGAAAUGCCAGAGCUCAACGGAUAAAAGUUACCCUGGGGAUAACAGGCUUAUCUCCCCCGAGAGUCCAUAUCGACGGGGAGGUUUGGCACCUCGAUGUCGG
This 1864-nucleotide ribosomal RNA is filed under the name human gut metagenome. RNAcentral describes it as "bacterial LSU rRNA". It matches the Rfam family "Bacterial large subunit ribosomal RNA", at positions 631 to 2535 of the family's 2925-position model. The record is from RNAcentral.